RNAcentral lists this ribosomal RNA (812 nucleotides) under Pseudomonas mandelii. RNAcentral describes it as "bacterial SSU rRNA". It matches the Rfam family "Bacterial small subunit ribosomal RNA", at positions 66 to 873 of the family's 1533-position model. Lineage: Bacteria; Pseudomonadati; Pseudomonadota; Gammaproteobacteria; Pseudomonadales; Pseudomonadaceae. The record is from RNAcentral.
GCGGCAGCACGGGUACUUGUACCUGGUGGCGAGCGGCGGACGGGUGAGUAAUGCCUAGGAAUCUGCCUGGUAGUGGGGGAUAACGCUCGGAAACGGACGCUAAUACCGCAUACGUCCUACGGGAGAAAGCAGGGGACCUUCGGGCCUUGCGCUAUCAGAUGAGCCUAGGUCGGAUUAGCUAGUUGGUGAGGUAAUGGCUCACCAAGGCGACGAUCCGUAACUGGUCUGAGAGGAUGAUCAGUCACACUGGAACUGAGACACGGUCCAGACUCCUACGGGAGGCAGCAGUGGGGAAUAUUGGACAAUGGGCGAAAGCCUGAUCCAGCCAUGCCGCGUGUGUGAAGAAGGUCUUCGGAUUGUAAAGCACUUUAAGUUGGGAGGAAGGGCAGUUACCUAAUACGUAUCUGUUUUGACGUUACCGACAGAAUAAGCACCGGCUAACUCUGUGCCAGCAGCCGCGGUAAUACAGAGGGUGCAAGCGUUAAUCGGAAUUACUGGGCGUAAAGCGCGCGUAGGUGGUUCGUUAAGUUGGAUGUGAAAGCCCCGGGCUCAACCUGGGAACUGCAUUCAAAACUGACGAGCUAGAGUAUGGUAGAGGGUGGUGGAAUUUCCUGUGUAGCGGUGAAAUGCGUAGAUAUAGGAAGGAACACCAGUGGCGAAGGCGACCACCUGGACUGAUACUGACACUGAGGUGCGAAAGCGUGAGAGCAAACAGGAUUAGAUACCCUGGUAGUCCACGCCGUAAACGAUGUCAACUAGCCGUUGGAGCCUUGAGCUCUUAGUGGCGCAGCUAACGCAUUAAAGUGACCGCC